Molecule: long non-coding RNA, 122 nt
Organism: Sapajus apella (tufted capuchin)
Lineage: Eukaryota; Metazoa; Chordata; Mammalia; Primates; Cebidae
Exons: 3
Source: RefSeq, a predicted model, not a curated record
UAAACAAUGAAAUAACGCACGUUUAUGCCUAGAAACAACAUCUGCCCAAACUUGAACCGUGAUUACUUCUUGACUUAGAAUUUGGGGUUGGGCCGGGCGCGGUGGCUCAAGCCUGUAAUCCC